Molecule: ribosomal RNA, 631 nt
Filed under: uncultured Dermocybe
Lineage: Eukaryota; Fungi; Basidiomycota; Agaricomycetes; Agaricales; Cortinariaceae
Description: eukaryotic LSU rRNA
Rfam family: 5.8S ribosomal RNA (bases 252-405)
Source: RNAcentral
GAUCAUUAUUGAAUAAACCUGAUAAGUUGCUGCUGGCUCUCUAGGGAGCAUGUGCACACUUGUCAUCUUUAUAUCUCCUCCUGUGCACCUUUUGUAGACUUGAAUAUCUCUCUGAAUGUGCGCAAGCGGAUUCAGGUUUGAGGAUCUGGCUUGGCAACUUGUCUUUCCUUGUAUUCAAGUCUAUGUUUUCAUAUACCCAAUGUAUGUCAUAGAAUGUUAUAAAUGGGCUUAUAUGCCUAUAAACCUAUUACAACUUUCAGCAACGGAUCUCUUGGCUCUCGCAUCGAUGAAGAACGCAGCGAAAUGCGAUAAGUAAUGUGAAUUGCAGAAUUCAGUGAAUCAUCGAAUCUUUGAACGCACCUUGCGCUCCUUGGUAUUCCGAGGAGCAUGCCUGUUUGAGUGUCAUUAAUAUAUCAACYUCUUCAGCUUUUGCUUGUUGAGUGUUGGAUGUGGGGGUYUCUUUUGCUGGUCUUCUUGUGAGGUCAGCUCCCCUAAAAUGUAUUAGCGGAACAAUUUGUUGACCGUUCAUUGGUGUGAUAAUUAUCUACGCUAUUGACGUGARGCAGAGUUCAGCUUCUAAUAGUCCAUUGACUUGGACAAUUUUCAUUAAUGUGACCUCAAAUCAGGUAGG